RNAcentral lists this ribosomal RNA (496 nucleotides) under uncultured bacterium. RNAcentral describes it as "partial 16S ribosomal RNA". It matches the Rfam family "Bacterial small subunit ribosomal RNA", at positions 28 to 506 of the family's 1533-position model. The record is from RNAcentral.
GAUGAACGCUGGCGGCGUGCCUAAUACAUGCAAGUCGAGCGAACGGACGAGAAGCUUGCUUCUCUGAUGUUAGCGGCGGACGGGUGAGUAACACGUGGAUAACCUACCUAUAAGACUGGGAUAACUUCGGGAAACCGGAGCUAAUACCGGAUAAUAUUUUGAACCGCAUGGUUCAAAAGUGAAAGACGGUCUUGCUGUCACUUAUAGAUGGAUCCGCGCUGCAUUAGCUAGUUGGUAAGGUAACGGCUUACCAAGGCAACGAUGCAUAGCCGACCUGAGAGGGUGAUCGGCCACACUGGAACUGAGACACGGUCCAGACUCCUACGGGAGGCAGCAGUAGGGAAUCCUCCGCAAUGGGCGAAAGCCUGACGGAGCAACGCCGCGUGAGUGAUGAAGGUCUUCGGAUCGUAAAACUCUGUUAUUAGGGAAGAACAUAUGUGUAAGUAACUGUGCACAUCUUGACGGUACCUAAUCAGAAAGCCACGGCUAACUACGU